Molecule: long non-coding RNA, 1800 nt
Filed under: Callithrix jacchus (white-tufted-ear marmoset)
Lineage: Eukaryota; Metazoa; Chordata; Mammalia; Primates; Cebidae
Description: lncRNA (ENSCJAG00000078611.1)
Source: RNAcentral
CCGCCUUCUUUUCCCACACCACAGAGCACGGCUCCCGGAAUUCCACAGCCCAGGCUUGCAUUUUCCCAUAUUCUGGGCGCUGGUGCCCACCACGUGCACCCGGCACUGGCCAGACAGAACUACCACCCCCAGCAUGCCGCGCGCAUUUGGGCCGUACUACAAUCUGUAGGGGCAUCUGGGUCUGAAACGGGCACCAGCAACACGGGAGCAGGGACUGACGCCCCUUUAGCAAAGCAUCUGUGGUACAUCCCAGACCCGGGGCUCUCCGAGGCCCCGCGCUUCCGAGCUCGGCGCAAACUCUGGCUUCUCUUGUACGACGGAGGUGGUUUGCUCUUCCGUUGCCCCGUGGCUUCAGCUCAUCUUCGGCAGGAAGGCGAGGCUUCCGCCCGGCGCAGGUGGUAAUUGUUUGUGAGUUAUUCACGAGGGGCGGAUCAGCGUGCUGAAGGGGCGUUCUGAAGUCUGCCGCGCAAACUAGAGUUCAUUGAUAAUUCGCAAAAGUAAGUAGCGCCUUGAAUUUUCUGUGAUUUUUCUAGGGGCUCAGUGCUUAAUUCACGCGGAGCAUGGCUUUUGCAGCUUCAUCUUCAUGAUCUGUGGUUAGCCUUCCCUUACAGGUACCAGGGUUAAAACUUGGCGUCUAUCGAAGGGAUGAGGCCUCCUACGUUCGUUUCUUAUAGUCCGGUAGUCCUAGAUAAUCAACCGAGGCUCUGGAUUCAAAUCCCAUCGAUCGUUUCCAGUUGUGUGAUCUUUGGCAAAUAGUUCUGUGAGCCUGAAUAAUGGGUAUGAAGAUAAUGAUGAGAUAGCUUACACUCAUUUAGCCACUUAGCACAUUUCAUCUUCACGACAAUCCUAGGAGGUAGGUUAUUAUUACCCCACUUUAUAGAUAAGGAAACUGGGACACAGAAAGGCUAAGUAGUUUGCCUAAGAUCACACAAUUAGUGAAUGGGUGGGCCUGGAUUCAAACCGGGGUGUAGUUCCACAAUCUGUAGUUUUAACCAGAUGCCAUCAUGUCUCCCCACCCUACCCCCGCCGCCAUUUAAUAGUACUACUACUAAUAUAACAUUUAGUAUGUGCCAAGCACUGGUCUAAACCCUUUGUACAUAUUUCUUCAUUUAAAUUCCAUCAGUAGGUAAGUUGCUGUUGUUAUUCCUAUUUUAUGGAUGGGGAAACAGUGGCCCAAGUUGGGGGUUUCUCUAGUGGUUUGGUAUGCCUUCACUCACAACUAAUUUUAUAUUAAUGUAAAUAUAUAUUUACAUAUCUCAACAUAUUACCUUUAUAUUAAUAUAUAAUAUUAAAACAAUUUUAACAGUGCCUUGUGCCAGCACUGUUCUAAGGCUCAUCCCAUAAUUCAUAUUCUCUGAUUUUCUUUUUUUGAGAUGGAGUUUCACUCUUGUUGCCCAGGCUGGAGUGCAAUGGCAUCUCGUCUCACUGCAACCUCUGCCUCCUGGGUUCAAGCGAUUCUCCUGUCUCAGCCUCCGGAGUAGCUGAGAUUGUAAUCUCAGCUGUAGGUGCCCACUACCAAGCCCAGCUAAUUUUUGUAUUUUUAGUAGAGACGGGGUUUCGCCAUGUUGGCCAGGCUGGUCUCGAACUUUUGACCUCAGGUGAUCCACCUGCCUCAGCCUCCCAAAGUGCUGGGAUUACAGGCGUGAUCUGAUUUUCAUAAUAACGCAUCUUUGGGAGGUGGAUGGGCUCUAUUACUGUCCUCAUUUUACAGUUGUGGAAACUGAGGCACCUGCCAAAUACAUGUAGUGAGUUAAGGUUUGAUUGGACCAAGACAGCCCUGGUUCCUAAGGGGGAGAAUCG